UGGGAAUAUUGCACAAUGGGGAAACCCUGAUGUAGCGACGCCGCGUGGAGGAAGAAGGUCUUCGGAUUGUAAACUCCUGUUGUUGGGGAAGAUAAUGACGGUACCCAACAAGGAAGUGACGGCUAACUACGUGCCAGCAGCCGCGGUAAAACGUAGGUCACAAGCGUUGUCCGGAAUUACUGGGUGUAAAGGGAGCGCAGGCGGGAAGACAAGUUGGAAGUGAAAUCUAUGGGCUCAACCCAUAAACUGCUUUCAAAACUGUUUUCUUGAGUAGUGCAGAGGUAGGCGGAAUUCCCGGUGUAGCGGUGGAAUGCGUAGAUAUCGGGAGGAACACCAGUGGCGAAGGCGGCCUACUGGGCACCAACUGACGCUGAGGCUCGAAAGUGUGGGUAGCAAACAGGAUUAGAUACCCCAGU
Molecule: ribosomal RNA, 416 nt
Filed under: uncultured bacterium
Lineage: Bacteria
Description: bacterial SSU rRNA
Rfam family: Bacterial small subunit ribosomal RNA
Source: RNAcentral